GCAAAAUCAGUCAGAAUGUUCCCACGCUUAAUUCAAAGUUGCCUUGGUCCAAAUGCAUGACUAAAAUGCUCAUCUGAUUGCAUUUUCAAUCAUCUGCCUGGAAGAAAAAGGUAUUCUGGACACGCGCUACUUUUCAUGUAAAAUGAACUUGAAAACAAUUGACGCAAAUAGGAAAAUAAAGUGGCACAACUUGGGAACAGAGUCUUGUCUAGUUGUGGUUUAACAAAGGAAUGGAUUUGUUGUCCUCGUAACUUGCAACUACGGCCUCACCACAAGCAGAAAAGAACACAGCAGUUGCUGUACGCUAUCAAAUUAGACACAAAGCUGCAGACUUUCCCUACGGAUUAGUUCUAAAUUUUCUGUGUGGAAACAGCAUCUACCAUUUGAAUUGUUAUUAUGCAAGGACUCUCAAGUAACAGCAGUUGGGGAAAGGCAACAUCAUCUCCACAGACAGAAUCACCAAUUAAAUGAAAACUUCUAUUUGCAGUAGCUAUGAGUCUCUUCUUGUUAACCAUCUCACACAGUUGGAAGCUUUUCUUGUACAGCCACGACUGAAUCUGUCAAUAAUGACAGCCGCGACACCUCCGACCUGAGGCAAAUUUCUUCUGUAUAAAGAAGCCACUAAUGUGAAGAUACAGGUUUACAACUUUUAGAUCUGGCGGACGAAACGGGGAUGAAAAGGAGAAGUGUAUAUUUUGAUUUAAAUGCACAGAUAAAAAUGUUUCUCAUCUCCCUCACAAACAAAAAUGGUUUUGCUUUCUCCUGUACAGCAUGAAACGACGUCCCUGCGGUUGCCACCAAAAUGAUCAUCAGCCUCCAACAUCUUCUAUUGUUACUGCUGCUCGAUAUAGACGCCUGCUUGCUUUAGCUAGGCAAUUGGGAUGGCCUUCACCCACAAGUGACCCAACUGGGAAUAUGUAGUGUGGGUAUAUACUCCCAUUAUUAUUUGCUCAUCCCUCCCAAACACCACAAUGAGGCAAUGUAGCAAGAUUUGAGAGGGAACAGGGGCUUAGGGCAUGCAAAUUUAUC
Long non-coding RNA from Ahaetulla prasina, 1029 nucleotides. RefSeq lists it as uncharacterized. Lineage: Eukaryota; Metazoa; Chordata; Lepidosauria; Squamata; Colubridae. The record is from RefSeq and is a predicted model, not a curated record. The transcript has 3 exons.